This 612-nucleotide long non-coding RNA is filed under the name Homo sapiens (human). RNAcentral's name for it is "HSALNT0065432". Lineage: Eukaryota; Metazoa; Chordata; Mammalia; Primates; Hominidae. The record is from RNAcentral.
UGUGGGCAUAUAUUUGAGCUUCUUAUAAACACAUUUAAGAGGAUUAAGCUCUAUACUGGGCAUUUAAAAAUAAUCCAGGUCUGCUUCUGUCUCACAAGAAUAAUAAUGUGUAAUGUGCACAUGUCACAUGCAAGUAACUGCUAGCUAGCUAAGACUAGGCACAUCUGCUGAGGCAUGCUCUCAUGAUGAUAUAAUAAAUAAGUGAACAGAAUGUGUAACAAAUGACCAAUGAUAACAUUACCUUCUGGACUCUUCUUGUCUGACUUGUAGAUUUUAUGAAAAGGAAACAUGAGCAGUUGUUAGAUAUGGUCAAUUCAACUUGGAAACAAAAUGUCCAGCUAAUCCUCUAUAGCUUCUGAAUCAGCUGAAAUUGAAAAUACUGAGAUGGUACUAGGAACUGCUAGGAAAAAAAUCUGUUAUCAUAUACAAUUUGACUGUGAGAAAGAAUUUUCUCUAUACUCUGAGACAAAAACUGAAUACGGAAAUAAAUGUAACGCUGCGACUAAAAUAAGACUACUGUCAUCCAUUUCUCCAAUUUAAACUUUUUAUCUCGGGUCAGGCAUGGUGGCUCACCCAUAAAUGAAGGAUUAACUAAAAUAUCUGCCAAAAUAU